RNAcentral lists this ribosomal RNA (860 nucleotides) under uncultured bacterium. RNAcentral describes it as "bacterial SSU rRNA". It matches the Rfam family "Bacterial small subunit ribosomal RNA", at positions 8 to 862 of the family's 1533-position model. The record is from RNAcentral.
AGAGUUUGAUCCUGGGCUCAGAUUGAACGCUGGCGGCAGGCCUAACACAUGCAAGUCGAGCGGUAGAGAGAAGCUUGCUUCUCUUGAGAGCGGCGGACGGGUGAGUAAUGCCUAGGAAUCUGCCUGGUAGUGGGGGAUAACGUCCGGAAACGGACGCUAAUACCGCAUACGUCCUACGGGAGAAAGCAGGGGACCUUCGGGCCUUGCGCUAUCAGAUGAGCCUAGGUCGGAUUAGCUAGUUGGUGGGGUAAUGGCUCACCAAGGCGACGAUCCGUAACUGGUCUGAGAGGAUGAUCAGUCACACUGGAACUGAGACACGGUCCAGACUCCUACGGGAGGCAGCAGUGGGGAAUAUUGGACAAUGGGCGAAAGCCUGAUCCAGCCAUGCCGCGUGUGUGAAGAAGGUCUUCGGAUUGUAAAGCACUUUAAGUUGGGAGGAAGGGCAGUAAAUUAAUACUUUGCUGUUUUGACGUUACCGACAGAAUAAGCACCGGCUAACUCUGUGCCAGCAGCCGCGGUAAUACAGAGGGUGCAAGCGUUAAUCGGAAUUACUGGGCGUAAAGCGCGCGUAGGUGGUUCGUUAAGUUGGAUGUGAAAUCCCCGGGCUCAACCUGGGAACUGCAUUCAAAACUGACGAGCUAGAGUAUGGUAGAGGGUGGUGGAAUUUCCUGUGUAGCGGUGAAAUGCGUAGAUAUAGGAAGGAACACCAGUGGCGAAGGCGACCACCUGGACUGAUACUGACACUGAGGUGCGAAAGCGUGGGGAGCAAACAGGAUUAGAUACCCUGGUAGUCCACGCCGUAAACGAUGUCAACUAGCCGUUGGGAGCCUUGAGCUCUUAGUGGCGCAGCUAACGCAUUA